GGGAGGACGGCGGCAGACGGCCGCGCGACGCGACCACAUCCAGGCGGCGGGCAGGAACCACCGGCAAGCUGGAGCAUCUACCGUCGACCAGCUAGCCACCAAGCCCCAGCGGCAUCCAUCUGCCGCAAGUCUCUUCAGAUGGAUGAUCAAGGCAGGAUGAUAGACUUUGGUAUUCAAGGCCAUGAGUUCAGUCAAAGGACUACAAUACCUUGUCCAAAUAUUGGUCACCAUCAGGACAAUGGACUUGAUGACCUGGAGUUUACUCAAGGAGCUACAGGACA
Molecule: long non-coding RNA, 281 nt
Organism: Triticum dicoccoides
Lineage: Eukaryota; Viridiplantae; Streptophyta; Magnoliopsida; Poales; Poaceae
Exons: 3
Source: RefSeq, a predicted model, not a curated record